This is a small nuclear RNA of Cercocebus atys (sooty mangabey), 110 nucleotides long. Its record names the gene U4. It matches the Rfam family "U4 spliceosomal RNA". From Rfam's summary of the family: U4 small nuclear RNA (U4 snRNA) is a component of the major U2-dependent spliceosome. The structure of U4 snRNA from yeast and human has been reported. The record is from Ensembl. NCBI's taxonomy places the organism in Eukaryota, Metazoa, Chordata, Mammalia, Primates, Cercopithecidae.
AGCUUUGUGCAGUGGCAGCAUUGUAACCAAUGAGGCUUAUCCAAGGCACGAUUAUUGCUAAUUAAAUAUCUUAUUUCUGUUUCCUUACAUUUAAACAGAGGAAACUGGGC